CCCUUAGAUGUUCUGGGCUGCACGCGCGCUACACUGAUGCGUUCAACGAGCCUAGCCUUGACCGAGAGGUCCGGGUAAUCUUUGAAACUGCAUCGUGAUGGGGCUAGAUUAUUGCAAUUAUUAAUCUUCAACGAGGAAUGCCUAGUAAGCGUGAUUCAUCAAAUCGCGUUGAUUACGUCCCUGCCCUUUGUACACACCGCCCGUCGCUCCUACCGAUUGAAUGUGUUGGUGAGGAGCUCGGAUUGGCAGCAGUUGGUGGUUCGCCACCGGCUAUUGCUGAGAAGUCCUCCAAACCGCCCCAUUUAGAGGAAGGAGAANUCGUAACA
RNAcentral lists this ribosomal RNA (326 nucleotides) under uncultured eukaryote. Its description in RNAcentral is "partial 18S ribosomal RNA". It matches the Rfam family "Eukaryotic small subunit ribosomal RNA", at positions 1470 to 1796 of the family's 1831-position model. The record is from RNAcentral.